GGUGACAUGGCCUAGCGGUUACGGGGGCUCGGUGCCGACCACCGGCCGGGGUGAACUUGGUGACCGAGAGGUCAUCAGUUCGAACCGGACCUGGUACCG
Molecule: non-coding RNA, 99 nt
Organism: Chaetomium strumarium
Lineage: Eukaryota; Fungi; Ascomycota; Sordariomycetes; Sordariales; Chaetomiaceae
Source: the annotation of a RefSeq genome assembly